This 444-nucleotide ribosomal RNA is filed under the name uncultured bacterium. RNAcentral's name for it is "bacterial SSU rRNA". It matches the Rfam family "Bacterial small subunit ribosomal RNA", at positions 29 to 521 of the family's 1533-position model. The record is from RNAcentral.
AACGAACGCUGGCCGCAUGCCUAACACAUGCAAGUCGAACGAGACCUUCGGGUCUAGUGGCGCACGGGUGCGUAACGCGUGGGAAUCUGCCCUUGGUUCGGAAUAACAGCGAGAAAUUGCUGCUAAUACCGGAUGAUGACGUAAGUCCAAAGAUUUAUCGCCCAAGGAUGAGCCCGCGUAGGAUUAGCUAGUUGGUGAGGUAAAGGCUCACCAAGGCGACGAUCCUUAGCUGGUCUGAGAGGAUGAUCAGCCACACUGGGACUGAGACACGGCCCAGACUCCUACGGGAGGCAGCAGUGGGGAAUAUUGGACAAUGGGCGAAAGCCUGAUCCAGCAAUGCCGCGUGAGUGAUGAAGGCCUUAGGUUGUAAAGCUCUUUACCCGGGAUGAUAAUGACAGUACCGGGAGAAUAAGCUCCGGCUAACUCCGUGCCAACAGCCGCGGU